RNAcentral lists this ribosomal RNA (468 nucleotides) under uncultured bacterium. RNAcentral describes it as "partial 16S ribosomal RNA". It matches the Rfam family "Bacterial small subunit ribosomal RNA", at positions 28 to 507 of the family's 1533-position model. The record is from RNAcentral.
GACGAACGCUGGCGGCGUGCUUAACACAUGCAAGUCGAACGGAAAGGCCCUGCUUUUGUGGGGUGCUCGAGUGGCGAACGGGUGAGUAACACGUGAGUAACCUGCCCUUGACUUUGGGAUAACUUCAGGAAACUGGGGCUAAUACCGGAUAUGAGCUCCUGCUGCAUGGUGGGGGUUGGAAAGUUUCGGCGGGUGGGGAUGGACUCGCGGCUUAUCAGCUUGUUGGUGGGGUAGUGGCUUACCAAGGCUUUGACGGGUAGCCGGCCUGAGAGGGUGACCGGCCACAUUGGGACUGAGAUACGGCCCAGACUCCUACGGGAGGCAGCAGUGGGGAAUAUUGCACAAUGGGCGGAAGCCUGAUGCAGCAACGCCGCGUGCGGGAUGACGGCCUUCGGGUUGUAAACCGCUUGCGCCUGUGACGAAGCGUGAGUGACGGUAAUGGGUAAAGAAGCACCGGCUAACUACGUG